Long non-coding RNA from Mauremys reevesii (Reeves's turtle), 223 nucleotides. RefSeq lists it as uncharacterized. The transcript has 3 exons. The record is from RefSeq and is a predicted model, not a curated record. NCBI's taxonomy places the organism in Eukaryota, Metazoa, Chordata, Testudines, Geoemydidae.
GAACUAUGAGACGGUGACCUCGCUGGGCUCGCCAAUUUGUUUGAUCAGAAGAUAAAAGUUCGUGUUUCGAAUCAGGUUCCACAGAAUUGAUAAAGGGACCUUCGGGGGUAUGACAGGAAGCUCACACGGAGACAGAUAGAGUCAUAACGACUUUUAUUAAACUCAAUGAAAUAUAGGGUUUCCAGUUUCCAAACCUGAUGUGAUCUCGCAGCUGGAACGAGGA